This 253-nucleotide ribosomal RNA is filed under the name uncultured bacterium. Its description in RNAcentral is "partial 16S ribosomal RNA". It matches the Rfam family "Bacterial small subunit ribosomal RNA", at positions 524 to 776 of the family's 1533-position model. The record is from RNAcentral.
UACGAAGGGGGCUAGCGUUGUUCGGAAUCACUGGGCGUAAAGCGCACGUAGGCGGUUCGUUAAGUCAGAGGUGAAAGCCUGGAGCUCAACUCCAGAACUGCCUUUGAUACUGGCGAGCUCGAGUAUGACAGAGGUUGGUGGAACUCCGAGUGUAGAGGUGAAAUUCGUAGAUAUUCGGAAGAACACCAGUGGCGAAGGCGGCCAACUGGGUCAUUACUGACGCUGAGGUGCGAAAGCGUGGGGAGCAAACAGG